This 210-nucleotide long non-coding RNA is filed under the name Elaeis guineensis (African oil palm). RNAcentral describes it as "long non-coding RNA (EGUI_LNC038108)". Lineage: Eukaryota; Viridiplantae; Streptophyta; Magnoliopsida; Arecales; Arecaceae. The record is from RNAcentral.
UGCACUUCUCAAUCAUAGCCGAAGAUCAAAAUAUGUUCUCCAUGUAGUUCUCCAUACGGUUCUAUAAACAUGCGCUUCUUGGCCAUGACCAAGGAUCGAAACAUGUUCUCUAUGCAGUUCUCCAUAUGAUUCUCCAAACACGUGCUCCUCGACCACGAUCGAUGAUUGUUCUCCAUGCAGUUCUCCAACCACGUGCUCCUCGACCACAGC